GCCCUACGGGGCGCAGCAGGCGCGAAAACUUUACAAUGCGGGAAACCGUGAUAAGGGGACACCGAGUGCCAGCAUCAUAUGCUGGCUGUCCGGAUGUGUAAAAUACAUCCGUUAGCAAGGGCCGGGCAAGACCGGUGCCAGCCGCCGCGGUAACACCGGCGGCCCGAGUGGUGAUCGUGAUUAUUGGGUCUAAAGGGUCCGUAGCCGGUUUGGUCAGUCCUCCGGGAAAUCUGAUAGCUCAACUAUUAGGCUUUCGGGGGAUACUGCCAGACUGAACCGAG
This 281-nucleotide ribosomal RNA is filed under the name uncultured methanogenic archaeon. RNAcentral describes it as "partial 16S ribosomal RNA". It matches the Rfam family "Archaeal small subunit ribosomal RNA", at positions 320 to 603 of the family's 1478-position model. The record is from RNAcentral. Lineage: Archaea; Methanobacteriati; Methanobacteriota.